AGCAACUUUCAAAAAUUAAAAAAAAAAGGUCCUAUUUGGUUAUUUGGCUUGCUUUUAUUUUCAUUACUGUAGGAGGUGGAUUUAGAAAAGAUCUACCCGCAGUGUAUGAACAAAGAAUGUUCUGCCUCAGUCUCCCUCUCAGAGUUUUAAUGUGUCUGGCCCUCCACUAUGGUCUUUAAAUCCAUUUGGAUUUUAUUUCCGUCUAUGGUGUUAGCGUGUGUUGUAAUGCCGUCCUUUGACAUGGAGCUGUCCAAUUGUCCCAGCCCCACUUAUGGAAGAGACUUUGUCUUUUCUCCAUUGUAUAGUCUUGCCUUCUUUGUCAGCGAUGAGAUGACCUUGAAUGUGUGGGGUUUAUCUCUGGACUUUGUAUCCUGUUCCUUGGGUCUGUAUUUCUUUUUUUUUGUGCCAAAACCAUCCUGUCUUUUUUUGUUUCUCCCCCUUUGAUUUAUUUUUUACUGAAGCAGAGUUGCUUUACAAUGUUGUAAUUUCUGCUGUAGAACAAAGUGAUUCCGCCAUGUGCAUGUACAUUUAUCCCCUCCGUCUGGAGCCUCCCUGCUUUCUUAUUUGUAUUUGUGCCCCAUAUUCUUAACCCAUCCCAGUGUCUCUGGGCACUUCAGUUGGGUCCCUGUCUUGCCAAGUGUGAAUAGCGCUGAAGUGAACGUUGGCGGGGUGGUGCGUGCGUCUUUUUGAAUUCUGUUUUUUUCCUCUGGGUGUACACUCAGGAGUUGGAUUGCUGCUUCCUAUGGCAGCGUUUAAUGUUUUAAGGAACCCCCCACAGUGUUCUCUGCAGCGAGGCUACAAUUUAGAUUCCUACCAACAGCGCGGGAGGGGUCCCUUUCUCCCACGGCCUUUACCGUCGGUCAGUUUUCAAACCAUGGUCCCGCUCUGACUGGUGUGAGCUGCUACCUCAGUGUAGUUUUGAUCUGCGUUUCUCUCUGAUAAUGAGCCGUGUUGGGCAUCUUCUCAUCUGUCUCCCGGCCACCUGUGUGUCUUCUUUGGAGACACACGUCUGUUUAGGCCUUCUGCCCGUUUUUUGACCGGGUCGUUUGGUUUUUUCGUUGUGUAACUGUGUGAGCUAUUUGUGUAUAUUUUAGAGACGAAGCCUCUGUUCGUGGCUCCUUUGUAGAUAUUUUCAUCUUGUUUGCGGUCUCCUUUGGCUCUGCUAAAGCUUUUCAGUGUAAUUAGAUCCCAACUGUUUUCGUCUCUUUGUUUUCACCUUCGUUACUCUCGUAGCUGGGUUUAUGAUUUAUCUCACAGAGUACUCUGCCUGCGUUUUCCUCUAGGAGCUUUGUACUCUCUGGCCUUACAUUUAGGUCUCUGAUCCAUUUUGAGUUUAUUUUUUGCUUAAUGGUAUUUUAGAGAGUGUCCCAAUUUUCCUUCUUUUACACGUCCAGGUUCCCCAGCCCCACUUAGGGAAGACACUGUCUUCUCUCCAUCGUAUAGUCUUGCCUCCUCUGUCAGAGAUGAGUUGACGGUAGGUAUGUGGGUUUAUCUCUGGACUUUGUAUCCUGCUCCUUUGGUCUGUAUUUCUAUUGUUUAUGCCAGGAGCACGCUGUCUUUUCUUGUUGUUGUCGUUGCGUUUCCUUUUUUAGUUUUUUACCGAGUAUAGUUGAUUUACAGUGCGCUGUGAGUUCCGCAAUGAGCCAUAGGCAUACAUGUACCCCCUCCCUCUUAAGCCCCACUCCCAACCCCAUCCAACGCCUCCAGGUCAUCACCGAGCCCCGAGCUGGAUUCCGUGUGCUAGACAGCAGCUGCCCGCCGGCUAUCCCUUCUACGCAUGGUCGUGUGUACAUGUCCGUGAAACCCUCUGAAUUCAUCCAGCCCUCCCCGCCCGUUCAUGCAUCUCUGUCUGCCUUCCUGCCUUAUAAACAGGUUCAUCUGUACCGUUUUUCUAGAUUCCACAUGCACGCAUUAACACGCGAUAUCUAUUUUUCUCUUUCUACUUCGCUCUGAGAAUCUCUGGGGCCAUCCACGUCUCUCCAAAUGACCAGAUUCUCCUCCUUCUCGUGACUGGGUCAUGUUCCAUGGACGGUAUCACCGACUCCAUGGACAUGACUUUCAAUAUCUUUGGUUUUGGUAUCGGGACGAUGGUGCCCUGAGAUGAGGACCUGUGAGGAGAUACGAACUUCACGUUCUCCUUUUGAGCCAUAUCAACUCUGCCCGAAAGCAGAGAGAACAUUGAGCUUCCAAUAAAACAGAAAACAGGGUCUUAAAGAAAGAUUCACACACCUAUGUUCAUAGAGGCACUGUUCACAACUGCUAAAGUGUGCAGACAAACCAAGGAGGGAUGAAUUUAUAAGUAAAAGGUGGUCCACCCAUAAAGGGGAUAUUACUCAGCCUUUAAAAAGGCUUUCCUGGAGGCUCAGAUGGUAAAGAAUUUGCUUGCAAUGUGGGAGACCCAGCCACCCACUCCAGUGUUCUUGCCUGGAGAGUCCCAUGGAUAGAGGAGCCUGGCGGGCUACAGUCUGCGGGAUCGGAAAGAGUCAGACGGGACUGAGCGAGUUUUACUUUUAAAGAGGGAGGAAAUUCCAGCAGACGCUAACGAUGUGGAUGAACCUUGAGAACUUGGUUGUUGUCUAAUUGCUCGGUCCUGUCCAACUCUGAGACUCCAUGGACUGCAGCCUGCCAGGCUCCUCUGUCCGUGGGAUUCUCCAAGCAAGAAUACUGGAGUGGGUUGCCAUGCCCUCCUCCAGGGGGUCUUCCCGACCCAGGGAUCGAACCCUCAUCUCCUGCGUUGGCAGGCGUAUUCUUUACCGCUGAGCCAUCUCGGAAUUAUGCUCAGUGAAAUAGACCAGACCCAGGAGAGCAGAUACUCUAUGGGUCCACUCAUGUGUGCUCCCUGGAGAAGUCAGAUUUAAAGGACAGGACGAUGCUGCUUGGCAGACACUCGGAAGCUACAAUUUAAUGGCAACCCCUUCAGUUUUCGGAGAACAGUUGAGUCCUGGAGAUGGAUGGUGGUGUGAGUUCCAUAACCCUGUGAAUGUACUUAAUGCUGCUGAACUGUAUGCUUUUAAAUGGUUAAAAUGAUAUAUUUUAUAUUAUGAAUAGCUCACCACAGUGACUAUUUUUUUAAAAAGGCGGGGGGGGAGCGGGAAUCAAAAUGGCUCAGCAAAGCUGUCCAAGUUCUUUGGCACUCACUGGCUAGUUCCUGGAAAGUGGAGACUCCGUGUCUCCUAGAAAAGUCAGCCUUCAACAGAGCCCGUGUUCCUCAGAGCCUCCGUGAGGCUGCCCCGCAGGUGGGCAGAAGCCCGCAGAGCCAGCUUCCGCUCAGUCACGUAGAGCCGGCCGAGCUGUGACGGGUAAAUGGGGAUUGCCACGUGUCGGUCGGCCAAACGCAUGGACGGUCACAUGUUUCCUCUCGGGAGAAAGGAGAACAAAUGGCCUCAUCGUUGGAAGAAUAUGUUCUGUGGGGAACAGGGAAGCUGGUCGGGACUCGAGAGGAAGAAUUCUUUCUUUAAAAAAAAAAAAAGACAUUGUAUUUAUUUAUUUAUGGCGGCACUGGGUCUUCAUGGUUCCAAGGGUGUUUUCUCGAGUUGCGGUGAGCUGGCUUCUCGUGGCGAGGGCUCCUCUUGUUGCAGAGCAUGGACUCUAGGGCCCCCGGGCUCAGGAGCUGUGACGCAUGGGCUUCGUUGCUCCGUGGCAUGUGGGAUCUUCACAGACCAGGGAUCGCAGGAUAACAGAAUAGCAGGUGACUGCAGAAAUAUAUACAUACACACACACAGCACAUUUAAAAGAAGGUGAAUUCUGCCAACUAGAAGGAACUUGCCGUUUCCUUCUCCGGGGGAUGUUCCCCACCCAGGGAUCAAACCCGUGUCUCUUGCAUCUCCUAUAAAUAUAUAUAUACACACACACACACCACGUUUAAAAGAAGGUGAAUUCUGCCAGCUAGAAGGCAGAAUUCUCUUCCAGGUGGAAGAGAAGCUCGACCUUCAGGUGAAAACACGGGUCUUCACAACUGGUUAAGAUACCGAAGAUGAUCGCCUCUGCUACCUCUGCCAGUGGAUUUCAACCCAAUGGUCCGUAGGUGAAACAUCUAAUCCUCCAAUCCUGUAAACCUAUCUGAGUCAGGCAGCACGUGUCUGUGGCGGAGGUGAAAUAACAGGAUAGCAGGUCAGUGCAGAAGCGUGAUGACGUCCCCCACCCUGUGUUCAGGUCUCAUGAGGCUGCAGAAAGCGGUUCGGGGUUAAGCGCCGCGGAGGUCUCUGCUGUGUCUCAGAGCCGGGCUAUUUCACAGGAGAGGAGCGUUGGGCAGAUCCUACCGCACAGACUAUUUGUGAAGAAACCACAGGUCGUUCAGGUGAAGGGCUGACAACCUUCCCCGUGAGUCCUGGUGGUGACCUCUUCAGCAUUCAGACACGGCAGUGCAUAUGCAGGGGCAUUCCCAGGAUGAACCCACGUGGCGAUUAGGCAACUUCAGCAAGUCCACCUUCACACCAGGUGGGGUCUGCAGGUGACUAACCAUCAUGUCCGUUGACCUUGUCCACUCAUCUCAUCCUCACUUGUUUUCUCAAUGUAAGAGAAGCAUCGGGCACCAGUGGUCACCAGCACAUCUGUGUCAUUAUUUUAACAGAUUUAGAAAAAGCACCUUUAGGGGAGGGGGUGGUUUCCCUGGUAGGUCAAUGGUAAAGAAGCUGCCUGCAAUGCAGGAG
This is a long non-coding RNA of Cervus elaphus (red deer), 4649 nucleotides long. RefSeq lists it as uncharacterized. The transcript is spliced from 3 exons. The record is from RefSeq and is a predicted model, not a curated record. NCBI's taxonomy places the organism in Eukaryota, Metazoa, Chordata, Mammalia, Artiodactyla, Cervidae.